GAUGAACGCUAGCGGCAGGCCUAAUACAUGCAAGUCGAACGGUGGCAGCAAUGUCAUAGUGGCGCACGGGUGCGUAACACGUAACUAACCUACCUAUAACUGGGGGAUAGCCCGCCGAAAGGCGGAUUAAUACCGCAUAAGCUAGUUGACCGGCAUCAGUUGAUUAGUAAAGAUUUAUUGGUUAUAGAUGGGGUUGCGGGUCAUUAGCUAGUUGGUAAGGUAACGGCUUACCAAGGCGACGAUGACUAGGGGAGCUGAGAGGCUGGUCCCCCACACGGGCACUGAGAUACGGGCCCGACUCCUACGGGAGGCAGCAGUAGGGAAUAUUGGGCAAUGGGCGAGAGCCUGACCCAGCCAUGCCGCGUGCAGGAAGAAGGCUUUCUGAGUCGUAAACUGCUUUUGACAGGGAAGAAUAAGCACUACGUGUAGUGUGAUGACGGUACCUGCAGAAUAAGCACCGGCUAACUCCGUGCCAGCAGCCGCGGUAAUACGGAGGGUGCGAGCGUUGUCCGGAUUUAUUGGGUUUAAAGGGUGCGUAGGCGGCCGUUUAAGUCUGGGGUGAAAGCCCGCUGCUCAACAGCGGAACUGCCCUGGAUACUGGACGGCUUGAGUACAGACGAGGUUGGCGGAAUGGACUGA
Molecule: ribosomal RNA, 639 nt
Filed under: uncultured bacterium
Lineage: Bacteria
Description: bacterial SSU rRNA
Rfam family: Bacterial small subunit ribosomal RNA
Source: RNAcentral